This 440-nucleotide ribosomal RNA is filed under the name uncultured bacterium. RNAcentral describes it as "partial 16S ribosomal RNA". It matches the Rfam family "Bacterial small subunit ribosomal RNA", at positions 338 to 795 of the family's 1533-position model. The record is from RNAcentral.
CCUACGGGUGGCAGCAGUGGGGAAUAUUGCACAAUGGGGGAAACCCUGAUGCAGCGACGCCGCGUGAGUGAAGAAGUAUUUCGGUAUGUAAAGCUCUAUCAGCAGGGAAGAAAAUGACGGUACCUGAUUAAGAAGCCCCGGCUAACUACGUGCCAGCAGCCGCGGGAAUUCGUAGGGGGCAAGCGUUAUCCGGAUUUACUGGGUGUAAAGGGAGCGUAGACGGCAGCACAAGUCUGGAGUGAAAUGUCGGGGCUUAACCCCGGAACUGCUUUGGAAACUGUGCAGCUAGAGUGCAGGAGAGGUAAGUGGAACUCCUAGUGUAGCGGUGAAAUGCGUAGAUAUUAGGAGGAACACCAGUGGCGAAGGCGGCUUACUGGACUGUAACUGACGUUGAGGCUCGAAAGCGUGGGGAGCAAACAGGAUUAGAUACCCGAGUAGUC